Long non-coding RNA from Astyanax mexicanus (Mexican tetra), 493 nucleotides. RefSeq lists it as uncharacterized. The record is from RefSeq and is a predicted model, not a curated record. Lineage: Eukaryota; Metazoa; Chordata; Actinopteri; Characiformes; Acestrorhamphidae. The transcript has 2 exons.
GUAUUGUUUUGCUUUUACUGCAGCUUUACAGGUGAAGUGCAGCUCACUUUGAUGUUUUAAAGAUUCAGCCAGAAACAUGCAUGUGAUGUCACCAACACUGACGUAUAUUUAAAGGUGUCACAGAGCAGUAUUGGAGCCAACGCAUAUGCCGUGAUUCCUCUUUCUACUGUCACUAUUGAUCAAAGUGAAGUUAUUCUGCAGUGUCAGAUCCUUAUUGAUUUUGUUACCUUUAGUUUCUGCUGUAAAUGUGUGUUGGACCGAAAUUAGUGUACUUCAUGUCAUUGUUCAUUUGUGAUGAUUUGUCAAUGAUUUUAAAGCAUUUAGUCGAUUUUUAUAUUUACAUUUUAGAAUAUAUCCUGCUGAUUUGACCAGCAGUUACAUCAUCAGUCUAACUGGCAGUUUACACUGUAACACUACCUUCACCAUGUUUAACAGAUUAUGUGAUAUGUUUAGGAUUAUGAGCAGCUCUGUCCUUAUUAAAUAAUUUCUCCCU